RNAcentral lists this small nuclear RNA (20 nucleotides) under Arabidopsis thaliana (thale cress). RNAcentral describes it as "snRNA_04075". Lineage: Eukaryota; Viridiplantae; Streptophyta; Magnoliopsida; Brassicales; Brassicaceae. The record is from RNAcentral.
UUUCCAUCAAUAGUCUCUCA